Sapajus apella (tufted capuchin) is the source of this 4737-nucleotide long non-coding RNA. RefSeq lists it as uncharacterized. The record is from RefSeq and is a predicted model, not a curated record. The transcript is spliced from 2 exons. Lineage: Eukaryota; Metazoa; Chordata; Mammalia; Primates; Cebidae.
GGAUUACAGACUUGAGCCACCGCGCCCGGCCAUAGUUCCAUUUUUUUGUACAUAUCCCUCUCUAGCCUUAACUCUAUAGACAUUCGUUUUUCCUCCCCACAGCUUGUGUCAUCCAGCUAACAUUAUAUCAAGUGCAUUGUCCCAUGUUUCUACCUUGUCUUCAUUAUUAUAAUUUGUCAAGUAAUUGGAUUGUACUGACUGCAGUGUUACUCCUCAUUUUCUUUCCCCCGUCCUUUCCAUACUACUUAAAAAGCAAGAAAGAAAAAAAAAUGUAUUUAAGAGAAAAUUCUAUGUAGUCGUAAUGGAAUUUAUUUUCCUGAGUGCAUGGGUGCGCUCCAGACAGGUAACUGUGAUUGUGUCAUCUCUUCUUACUAAGCAUCUGACCACUCACUACCUGUGCAUCUGAUCCCUAGGCUCAUGGCAUGAGGGGUGUGGCUCUUGGAUGUUUUUGUUUUAUGAACUUAGUAUCAGCAGAACCGUAUCUACUCUAAGAGUGUGGAAGCUUUGUAAAUUUAACUAACGAUUUGUAGGUUUUGUGAAAAUAGCCGGCUCUCUAGGUAGAGACAUUUUAAUUCUGUUGCUUUUUUUUUGUAGCAUAUUAUUGGAUUGCAAAUGUUUACUUAGUAUGAAAAAUGGAUAUAAUUAAGUUCUAAAUAGGGACUAGAUAUUAACUUCAAAAUGAAUUCACAGCUUUUAUGCUUUGCAUAUGCCAUAAUGCUGCUGUUACCAAGGAUUUAAAGCAGUUUUCCACUUCUGCUAUCUUAUAAAUUAAAACCAGAGCCCUAGACGUUAUCCAGCAAGGCAGCUAUAAAAUUUGAAAAAAUCUUCAGAUCAUUGUCAGGAUUAAGUUUGUUGAAAUUCUAUCUGGAAAGUAGACUUUUUCUUGUAGUAUUAUUAUUAUUGACUCAUACAGUGCAACUCAUACUGGUUUCAUAUUCAGAAGGUAUAUAGCAUCCAUUGUAAUAUUUCAGAUUAAUUUCUGCAGUCUUUCUUUAAAAAUACAGAUCCUCAGAACAAAUUGUCUAAACAGUGUACAAAAUCAAAUCACCAGGCUUCAAGUAUAUUUUAUGUGAAUGAUAAGUGCUCUUUGAAUUAGCAAAAGGAAGACAAACAUUUCAAUUACCUCUUUAAUAUUAAAUUUUUGUUUCUGAAUUAUAAAUCUUUGGUAUAUAUUUUACACUAAUUAUAUUUUCAAUCAGCAUAGUCCAGAAAACACUGAACCUGACUGCUUUUUAGUUGGAAAGAGUACCUAUUUAGACUUUCUAAACCACAGUGUGUGGCUAAGUGAUGAAUAUGCAUUAUUACACUUCCAAAAAUACUUUUUGGACCAACAUAUUGACUUAAGGGAGCAUACUUUGUACUGAAAAAGUGAAAUCACAUCAAAUUUAACAGUUUAACCCUGCAUAUUUGUAGAAUUUUAGUUAGAUCAUAGGAUAAUGACAUUUGCUACAGUCAGCAAGCAUGUAAAAUAAACAUUUUGAAGUUUGUUAUUUGUGUUCUACAAUAGUAAAUAUUUGGCAUCUACCAUAACCACCGCUACCAAAAUGUGUAUGCUGAAAUUGUAUCUCCAGGAUGAAUAAAGAGGUGGUGGAAGGCAAGCUGACGCCUAUUAGAAAAAAGGUUUAGAAAGAGAGAGAGGGCCUAGACUUUUCUUAGCUUCACUCCAACAUAGGGCCUGUAGCACCUAUUUAUAACCAAUUUCUAAAACUUCAAGGUGGGAAUUAAUAGAUUGUCUCCAGUUUUAUAUAGUUCCUCUUUAGUCAGUUGAUCUUUAUUAUUACCCAAAGCUUCAAGUGUUUUUUGUUUUUAUUUUUUGCCAAAAGCUUCUUACCAAUGUGAUUAUCAGUGUUUAAAUUCAUUUAUAAUGAAAUGGAUUUGUGUCUUUCUUGCUCUACAGUAGACAGUGAAGCCUCCAUGACCUGUGUAAACUUCAGAGUGAGGCGAAUGUUUAAACAGUAGGUGAGUGCUCCUACAGUGUCUCUGGACUGCAUUUCCUUGCUUACAGAGCCCUGGAGCUGAGCCAACCCGCAUUAGCGGUAGGAGGAGAGGCUCGGUUUUGAGAGCCCUGGGUUUAUUUCUGGCUAUGGGGAUAGGAUAUGAGAAUGCGGGAGAAGGUGUAAAUAUAGUUUGAGGGAGGUCAUAGACUUGGAGGUUCUUGCCAGGGGUAAAUGCUGGAUGGAUUUGUUUAUGGAUGGAUCUGAUUAUAGCUGCUUCAUGCUUUUACCUCUGGAGUUGGUGCUUCCAAGGGGUAAUGCUCAUUGUCUGGAUCACUUCUAGCGGGUAUCUCAGAAUUCUUUGCUGCACAAACCAUAGCAGUUCUCUUCCCUUUCUUUUGGUAUUUGUAUUCAAAUGCCUGACUUCCUGACCUGCUGUGAGGGUUGUACACUAAACUUCUUGGGAAAAGAUGGGUGUGUAAAUACUACAAGCUUUAUAGCAUUUGGGGAUGGAGUUGUGGGAUUUGGGAGUUUGUGACCCCAUCUAUCUGUGUAUCACUAUCUUUAAUGUAGAGAGACGGACAGAGCAGCAGUUCCUGAACCCUGUCUUUUGUUUCUCCAUGGGUUGGUCACUGAUUUCCUCUGUGCUGGGUCUGAAUCCCUUUCCCUUGCCUCCCCCCAUGUGGAUUCAGGAAGGCCCACAUCCGACAGCUGCCCUUGGUCAACCCCCAGCCCUGCGCACAAGUGUUCUCUGCUUUUUGGAGCCAGGGGCACUGUCCAGCCAGCUGAUGACAGCUCAUUGGUGGCACUGGUCUCACUCCAGCGCUGGCUCUGUCCUCUUGGCCCUGUUGCUUCCUCCUUAGAGGAUUAGUCACCCCAGUCUUGGGGCAUUUUACCCACCUAUAUGACUAGCACAUGUUGCAUCCACUUGCCAAGGAGUGUUAGGGAUACAGUCUCAAGAAAACCUGCCCAGUUGAAAUGACUUCCUCGAGAAAUUUAAAGGAUAAAUUCCAUAAGAAGAAACCAUAUUUUAUUAAUGAGAGACAAACUUGUGCACUAGUGGGAGUUCAGACUUGGAAGCCAGUGCAUAGUCCAGCCUGGCGACGUGCAUGAUGUGUUACCCUGGCCAAAGCUCCCCAACCUCUGUUCAUGGUUUCCAUCUGUAAAAUGGGAAUAAGAGUAGUAUCCAUUUAUUUUGGGUGGCUAUGAGGAAUACUUCAUUCAUUCAUGUAAAACUCUUAAAUAGUGGCUUAUAUACAGGAAGCACACAGUAAAUGUACAUUACCAUUGUAUCUUUGUACCUCAACAUCUAACCAUAUGUAUAACACUAUGGUUUAUACAUAGCGCAUACGCUUUAAUGCUUUGUUGAGUAAGUGUAAUACUCAGAGAUGGGCAAGUGAUUUCCUCCUCUCUUACCAUAAAAUAAAAGUAGUAUUUGGUUGCAAUAAGGCAUCAUAGGCAUGAAGACAUUUACUCCCUAGCUGCUGCCAGGGGAGAAGAAUGUUCAAAAUUCUAUGUUGAUAAUUGGGUGCCUGCGAUUUGUUAAUCAUACUUAACAAACUCAGUCUAUCAGGUGUUGCACUAAUAUUUACUGGCUCUGGAGGUGAAAGGACAAAGCCAUCAGGUGAUUUGUUUCCAAAAAGUAUUGUUACUGGGAUAUUUCAGACUCCAAAAUGUGUGGUGGUCAUUAUUAACGAGACUUUGCCCUUUCUAUAGUUAGGGGCUUACUCUGCAUUGUAACUUAGUUUGCUUUUAAGGCAAUAGAUGGGUAGAGGGUAGAUAGAUGCUCUGUAAUUGAAUAGCCUACUGGGCUUCUGCAUAGUCUACUCAGUGUCUAGCACAGCACUGUGUAAGUUAGCAGGUGUUCAGUAAAUGUAUUUUAAAUCAAUGUGUAAUUGAUGGGAUAUUUUUCUUCACAUUAUAGCACAUUGAUAGGUGCUUGUGAGGAAGUUUUGCUCAUGAUUUUCUUCCUAGGCAUGCGCCACCUAAUGUGUUUCUCCCUAGCUGUGGGGUAUUGAAUUUGAGGCUGCUCUUGGCAUUACUGCCCAUCUCUAAGAGGAACAAAUGGUCCCCCAAAUGGUCCAGAUGCAACAGAAGGGGAAGGAGUGCCACCACUCAUUUUAAGGUGCCUGGGCCAUACUCUGGAUGAAGCUCACAGUGCUAACAGGAGGUAAGCCUUUUUUUUUUUUUUUAAGUUAAAAAAGUUAAUUUAAAAGUUUAUGCUGAUGCUGUUUAAUAUGGCAAAGACUUAAAGGGUAUACGUCCUUCUGUUUGCUUGGUGGGGACUGCUAUCCUGGAGAUAAGAGAUUGUGAUGCAGAGAUUGGACCGUUCCUGAUGUGGCGACAGUCCUCUGACUCCAGUCAUUUUCAAAGUCUGUCUUUUUGGUUAACAAAAGACGUCAAGCUAGAGAUUAAUAUGUGCAGAAAACAGUUUUUAAAAAGUGAUCAUAUCUACAAAGGUUAUAAGAACAUGAACCUGAAGUCCUGUUACCAGCAUUUUGUAAGUGCUGCUUCUCAUUCUAAAAAUAUUUAUUGAUUUUAAAAACAAAAUCUGUAACAGGAUAGCAACAGUAAAAAUCCUUCUUAUGGAGAAAUGUAGAGCUUUUAACUAACAUACAUACUCAUUCAAACAAAACAGCUUCUCUUGUUUUUAAGGAAACAUUUCUGUUGUCCAUUGUAUAAAUUGUAAUAACUUUUCUUUCCUUUUCUUUCUUUUAGGUCUCUGUGUUCCAGAUUUUUUUUUGUAACUAUGAAAUUCUUGCCUUGUAUUCAACUUAAAAUGAAAUAAAUUUAUUUCAGUGCA